UGGGUUUAUGGGGGAUGCCUUGGCGUCAAAAGCCGAAGAAGGGCGUAGCAAGUCUGCGAUAAGCCUCGGUUUGCUGACUAGCAAGCUUAGCCGGGGAUACCCGAAUGGGAAAACCUGAUCAUAUGAUCAACCUUUUUAAGGUAGGUAAGCAGGAGAACUGAAACAUCUAAGUAUCCUGAGGAAAAUAAAUCAAACGAGAUUCCCUGAGUAGCGGCGAGCGAAAUGGGAUCAGCCUAAACCGUGUGGGAUUUAUCCUGUGCGGGGUUGUAGGGCACUUUAUAUAGAAGUUACAAAAUGACAUUUUAGUAGAAUAGAUUGGAAAGUCUAACCAUAGAGGGUGAAAGUCCCGUAAACGAAAAAAUGUCAUCUUCUAAAGUGUUCCUGAGUACGACGGGACACGUGAAAUCUUGUCGGAAUCUGGGGGGACCACCCUCCAAGGCUAAAUACUUUUGACGACCGAUAGUGAACUAGUACCGUGAGGGAAAGGUGAAAAGAACCCCGAGAGGGGAGUGAAAUAGAACUGAAACCAUAAACCUACAAACCGUGGGAGCUUGUAUUUAUAUGAGUGACCGCGUGCCUAUUGAAGAAUGAGCCAACGAGUUACUUGGUACGGCAAGAUUAAGAAGUUAAGCUUUGAAGUCGAAGCGAAAGCAAGUCUGAAUAGGGCGAAUUAGUCGUGUCAAGUAGACCCGAAACCGUGUGAGCUACCUAUGGCCAGGUUGAAGCGAGAGUAAAAUCUUGUGAAGGACCGAACCCGUGUACGCUGCAAAGUGCUGGGAUGAGCUGUGGGUAGAGGUAAAAUGCCAAACGAACACGGAGAUAGCUGGUUCUCUCCGAAAUGUAUUUAGGUACAGCGUUAUGUAAUACUUCAUGGAGGUAGAGCACUGGAUAGACUAGGGGGCGCAAGCUUACCAAACCUAACCAAACUCCGAAUACCAUGAAGGGUAUCAUAGCAGUGAGACUGUGGGGGAUAAGCUCCAUUGUCGAAAGGGAAACAGCCCAGAUCGCAAGUUAAGGUCCCUAAGUAUAUGCUAAGUGUUAAACGAAGUAGGGUCGCCCAGACAGCCAGGAGGUUGGCUUAGAAGCAGCCAUCCUUUAAAGAGUGCGUAAUAGCCCACUGGUCAAGGGGCCCCGCACGGAAAAUAAACGGGGCUAAGCAUAUCACCGAGACUGCGGGAUCUAUUUAUAGAUCGGUAGGAGAGUGUCGUUAAAGCAUUGAAGCUAAGCUGUAAGGCUUGGUGGAGUUUUAACAAGUAAGAAUGUUGGCAUGAGUAGCAAAAAUGCCGGUGAGAAUCCGGCAGGCCGUAAGUCUAAGGAUUCCUACGCAACGUUGAUCGGCGUAGGGUUAGUCGGUCCUAAGGCGUAUCCGAAAGGAAAAGUCGAUGGACAGCUGGUGAAUAUUCCAGCACCUAUAAUUAAUUGUUUGAGUCAAAGGGGUGACGCAGAAAGAUAAACAGAGCAUACGUAUUGGACAUCGUGUGUUUUUGCCUGUAGAUGAGUAGAGAAGGUUAAAAUAUUUUCUACGUUUGAAUUGAGGGGUGAGAAAACUAUGAGGUUCGCCUCGUAGAAUUCUGUCGACUCUAAACUGCCAAGAAAAGCCUCGUUGAUUAGAUUUUUCAUAGACCGUACCGCAAACCAACACAGGUAGACAGGGAUAAACGUCCCAAGGCCAUCGAGAGAACCAUCGUUAAGGAACUCGGCAAAUUGACCCCGUAACUUAGGGAGAAGGGGGACCUUUUGUGUAUAUGAGUUUACCUCAAAAAGCAUGGAAGGUAGCAUAAAAUAGGCUGAAGCGACUGUUUACCAAAAACACAGGUCCAUGCCAAAGCGAAAGCUGAUGUAUAUGGGCUGACGCCUGCCCAGUGCCGGUAGGUUAAGGAAAGUUGUGCAAGCAACUGACUGAAGCCCCGGUGAACGGCGGCCGUAACUAUAACGGUCCUAAGGUAGCGAAGUCCCUUGUCGGGUAAGUUCCGACCCGCACGAAUGGCGUAACGACUUCAGCACUGUCUCAACGAUGGACUCGGUGAAAUUGCAGGACCGGUAAAGAUGCCGGUUACGCGCAGCAGGACAAAAAGACCCCGUGGAGCUUUACUGCAACUUGGCAUUGGUUCGAGUUUUAAAAUGUGUAGGAUAGGCGGGAGACUUUGAACUCUAGGCGUUAGCCUAGGGGGAGUCGCCCUUGAAAUACCGCCCUUUUUAUGAUUUGGACCUAACACUUUUGGACAGUGUCUGGUGGGCAGUUUGACUGGGGCGGUCGCCUCCCAAAGAGUAACGGAGG
This 2278-nucleotide ribosomal RNA is filed under the name marine metagenome. Its description in RNAcentral is "bacterial LSU rRNA". It matches the Rfam family "Bacterial large subunit ribosomal RNA", at positions 15 to 2306 of the family's 2925-position model. The record is from RNAcentral.